GCGCCCCUCGCGGCCAGGGUUCGAAUCCCACCCCCGCUUCCAAAUCUCCCAGCGGUCUCCUGCGGGCUCCAGCCGCCGCCGCCGGGACGCGCGCAGGGGGCUGCGUGCUCCGGCGGCCGCCGCCGGGACGCUCGCGCAGGGGGCUGCGGGCUCAGCCUCCACCGCCGUCACACGCGCCAGGGGGCUGCGGGCUCAGUCGCCGCCGCCGUCACGCGCGCCGACGUAGGGCUCGGGCGCCGCCGCCGGGACGCGCGCCGGCUGCGGCCUCCGGCAGGUGCAGAUCCGCCGGCCGGUCUCGCCGCCAGCAGGGGCGAGAUAAGGGGCCUCCGCUGCCGCCGCUGGGGCGGCUCCAGGGCCUCCGCAGGCGGGCGCACUGCGGAGCGGGAGUUUGGGACUGGCGUCCGCCGUGCGUCGCGCCCUGCGCGUGCGUGACCCGCGGCCUCCCCGCUGUUAGGGUUCGGGAAAGGGGUUCCACGGCCAGUGUGCGCGGCCACCGCUGUCCGCGCCCGACUUCGAUCACUGCCCGCCGACGGCGUCCCGGACGACUUCGUGGAGUUGUUCGAUUUCAACGGUUGCAACAAAAAGUUUGUUUUGCAGCUCGCGACUGAGGGGGAAGGAGGCGAUGGCGGUGGUGUCGAGCACUCGAGCAUCGGGAUCAUGGACGGCGCCUACUUCGUGGGUAGGGGCGAGAUCCUGCACUGGAUCAAUGCCACCCUCUAGCUCUCCCUCGCCAAGGUCGAGGAGGUCAGGCCCCUUUCUCAUCCCCAAUUUAUUGGGCCACGCUUGCUUGGUUCAAUUUGCCAGGUUAAGGGUUAGGGUUUGAUCUGUCCGAGAGUAUCGCGAUCUCUUGUUCACGCGGAUUAUGUGGUCUGGGAAUUGUUUGAUGUGUGGCGCGGUGCGGAAUUUUGUGCCGAUUGGUUGUUUGUUAUCCCUUUGCCGCUGAUGGAUAUGGUUCAUCCCGGAGUGGUGCAGAUGCAUAAGGUUAACUUUGAUGCAAAGACCGAAUAUGACAUGAUCCAGAACUACAAGAUUCUUCAGGAUGUGUUCAACAAGCUGUGCAUAAUCAUGGAAACCCGUCGAGGGCUCUAUCCUGUUGAUGGGCAGAAUAUGUGCAGAAGCUAGACUGUAUAACCAGCCACUUAAAUUCAAGAAAGUAAUGUGGCGCGUUGGUCACCCGAUGAUGCCCCAUGAGGAAUCUGUGUCUUCAGCAGCGGUUGGUUCUACUAUUAAAGUAAAAGCUGCUGUAAUUGUUGUGUUCGCAUUCUGAGGGAGAGCUGUUAGUUUGAUGUGCUUAACACGGGAAGAGGAUCAUUUGAAGAAAAAAAAAUCCAUGAGCUACAGGCAAAGAAUGAAGUCAUGUUGUUAUUGGAUCACUGGAAACAAGCUGAUUUGAUCCGUUGGUCAUUCUUAAAGCAGCACAAUGAUGAAGUGGCAUGAUUAAGUUUUUUUCUUUCAGUGCAAGCCUCUGAUAUGCAGUAUGCAUGUUCUUGCAAGGGCGGAAAAUAUGUGCCACUCCUGUAUGUUGAUCUGACGAUGAGUCACUUUGGUAACAGCAGCCUGGUGAGAUGAACUAAUAUCAACGCCCCGUUCGGCGGGGUGGGAAAGAACCCCAGCCGCAGCUGGUUCUUGCAUGUUGUGGCUGGUCUGGAUCGGUGGAUAAGCAGAUGGGUUAUCAUUUUCAAAUGGCACUAUCAGGGCUGGAAGUACAUUGGUGUUGGUCAGCUCUCCAUCGCAAGAAAAAACAUGCAGAGGGCUUUGUAACCAUGAAUUGUUGAGAAUCAGAGGUUGGCUUCAAUCUUCGACUUCCUCCAACUGAGAGCAUGGGAUUGCAUUAGCCUAUCAUGUCCUGAACUCCUAAUACCAAUUUUCAAGCUCUGAUUAGCUUCCAAAAAGUAGGGGAAACGACAGCCUUGAGCCUGUCCUUCUGAGAUGGUUUAUGCUUUUUGUCUAGCAUUUCUUAAGAUAAUGCACUCGAACUUUUUGAACGGCGGAUGGUCAGCCGGUGUAUGGUGAACGGUCUGCUGGAAAAUUUUGGAACCCGUGUUUAUUUUGUACGUUUCCCGGAAAGCUUGUUCUUCUGCAAUGGGGUCAGCUAUGAUACUUGUUGAUUCUUCCUAAGCAUCCUCAUUGGAUUCUGACAUUGACAGUCUUCAUGAUGUCUGAUGCUAAGGGAAAAAGACAAUGGAAGGUGUCCAGACCAUAUUCCAUGUCCUAUGUGAGUAGCCUUAAAGAGUUGCAAAGUACUUGGCUCUGCACCAAUUUCUACAUUUCUCUGUAAGUGCAAUAUUAAAUGACUUUAAUACCAUACAACUUGUUUAAUGUAUUGGAAGUGAAAAACAAUGUAAGAAAUAUUUACAUUUUCCCAACUGCACUGCGAGUAUGGUUUGGAACCCAUCAGAUGAUUUGUUCUCAAAUUCUGUCGAUUUGAAGAGUUCUGGCUGCUAACUAACUGCACCCAGCAAACAAGUAAUGUUUAUCAAUGUAAAUUUGAAUUGAUAAUUCUAUACUUGGUUUGUAAAGUAGUGUUGUACCUUGAACUUCUUAGUUCCAAAGUACUUGAUCAAAUAGUGCCACUCCACAAUAUCUAAGUCUUCAGGCCUGUUUUUCAUCCUCUCAUCAUAAGUGUUGAAUGCCUUUUAGGUAGCACUAAAAGUGGCUCGCCAUCCAUUGUAGCAUUUUUUGUGCAAUCUUCCAAUUCUUUUCCAUCAUUUCAUUAGCGUUUUCGAUAUCCCAACAUGUCUGUAUGAAAGAAAAUGGAUAUUUGUAAUGCAACCUUUGUAGGUAGCUAAUGAAGUGUCCACCACUAUGCAUGAGAUAAAUGAAUAAAUAUGCAUGUGUCAUUUACAUACCAUAACUGCAUGUGCGAUACUAUUCUUGACAUUUUCUUUCACAUCUUUCCACCGUCUAACUCCAAUUAGUGGAGCCCUUUUCCUUGUAAACAUAACCAUUUCGUCCACAAAUGUACGCCUGUUUUCUCCACAUGGACCACCCCGCUUUGCGGAAAAUUGAAUUUUUAGCUUUUGAGAGAGAGAGCUCCAUCUCUUGGCCACUGCAGUAAUCCCUUUCAAGGUACCACGUCCAGUUUUCUUGCCACCAUCUAAGAAUAUAGACAUAAGAGCUUAUAUUAACUACUGAAGAAUAAAGACUAUAGUUUGCAAAUAUAUUAAUCAUGUACCAUAGUCUUUACCCUUCAGCUUCUUUAUUUUUCCUAGCUUGAAUAGCCAUUCUGUUGGAAGUGAGUCACUGCUACCAUUUGCAUCAUUAGGUUCUGCGCAACGCUUCUCGAAUGCUUUAUAACACACUGCCAAAAAAUGGAUAAUAGAUGAGCUAAGUACAUUGACAAAUUUCAUUAGAAAUUGGAAGUGCAAAAGAACAAAGAAGUACUGAUGUCUUUUAGCUGUCCUUGGUGCCUUAACAAUUUACUUAAUAGUUAUUAUAGUUUCUUCCAUGAAAUCAUCUCGUAGAUCUGCAAGUAAUGAACGAUAGUAAGUAAUUUAGUAAGCCUCACUAUUCCAGAGUUAUUCUUUAGUGAACUAGAGCCUUGGGCCAUGAGCCAAUCUUUGUAUGCAUUAAUUUCAAAAUGAUCAUCCUCCUCCUCGUUCACACCAUCCUCAUUGUCAUCACUCUCAUUAUCUCUCAAUGUUUUCAGGGAUGUAAUUGGCACAUGUUGUUGUUGUUGUUCCUCGGUUGUCAAUACAUCCCUAAUUUUCUUUUCAAACUGAUUGUGAUUAACCAUGUCAUCUCCAUCUUGUAUGAAAUCUAUUGCCUCAUAAGUUGCUGAAUCAUUACCACAUCUCUUUUUGUAGUAAAAGUAGUCCCGGGUACCAUAGCCAAGCUGCGAUUUCCAACUAAGCAGAUUAACAUAUGAUAUUUUGAACAAGGAUUGGGGCUUCCUUGUUUUAAUUUCUUUUCUGGGCUCCUGUAUUAUUACGGGAUCCAACUUCAUCAUCUUACCCCCAAUUCUUUUGUUCAUCUUUCUAUCUUCGUACAUUUGUGCGAAGCUUUUCUGGGCAUCGAGCCCCAUUUUGAACUUUUCCUCCAUCUUUUCCACCUCAAACCCUAGCCAAACUCUAGUAAAUUAGAUGUAGUUGGUGGUGCGGGGAUUCAGGUUAGGCAUGGGAUGGAUAAGGUUUAUAUCCCCUAUAAACUAUCGAGUAAAGUAAUCGACAAGAAGCCAAAAUGGUUGUACAUAAAAAACCAUGGCGAUACCCUUCCAGUGAUUACUCCAGGUCCCCCAACUCAGAGGCCUGAAUGGAACAAGCCGGUAGAUGACAGCCAAAUUCCGGAUCUACUCGAGCGGAUUGCCGAGCUGAGGCAAAGACAUUUAACCAGAGAAGUUGUCUUCUUUAACUAGAUGAAGCGAAGGAUUUAGUCGUUAUAGGCUCGAUAGACAUUUGGCUUUUAGUAUCAAGGAACAAGUGACCCAUCGCGGUACUCGAAUAAAGAGAUCUCUAAUGGAGAGGUUCUUAGUCGAGUACAGCGACUACUUAAGAAGGUGGAGCAUGUGCCCCUUAUCCCUGAUACUUUUUCAGCAUCGAAUCCUCCGAAACAGGUAUGAACAAAGUAGUUGAUUUGUUUUUUCAAGUACUUUAUUUGUAAGUUUCUAAUAGAAUUUUUCUUUUGUUCAGAAGGACGUGGAUGUGUACAAAAGCAGCCCUCCUUGCCAGGCAUUUUUGAUCCUUUUCACCUUCUUCCAAGCGCUCAUGCACCGCCAAAACCAAACCUAGAAGAAUCUUUAUCUAUGGAGAUUUAUAUAGAUAGUUCUGAUAGUGAGUUUGAUCGUGCAGAGGCUGGGGAAGCUGUUGGUGAGGAGGAGAGUGGGGGACGGAGCCCCAGCCUGAGCGAGGGUACUCAGGUGGAUCACCCAAAGGGUACUCGGACAACAGCACAGAAGCAUCGAGGUUCUUCGCAAUCCGGCAUUGAUAGUUUGACGGGCAAGAUUCCGUGGACUACAACAUCUGGGGAUGAUGCUAGGGUGGGAUCAAUAGUGCCUUCCACCCCAGUGGACCCAUCAAAUGGGACGGAAACUAUCCCGCCACAGAAAACUGCACUGGUGGGUAGUACCAAAGGAGGCAGUGCCGACACUGAUGGGAGCAAGGCGAUGGUCGUCCAGCCUACUCCCAAGUUAGGCAUGCCGAAAAAGUUUUCCCUGAAGAGAGCACCUGCAUAAUAACGUGCUCCUAGAGGCCGGAGAGCCUGGUGGAAGUACUUCCACAGCCCCAAGCCUUCAAGCGAGGAUCCUACGAGUACCACUGAUGCGGAUGCUCGUGCUACAGAGGAGAUGGCGGAUUCCAUGCUACGGGAUUCGCCAGUUCCUGAGAUAGAGGAGGGGCGCUAGCAGUCGGAGGAUGUUCCUGCAUGUCCUCUCAAUCUGGGGGAUCCUGCGGGAAAAACUGGCGAGAUGCCGCAUGCAGAGGCGGCCCUUGUGGUGGGGACCAACACUUCCGUUGCUCCAUCGAGAAGUGCCCUGCCACAAGUAGAUAGAAUGAAGCUUGCGCAAGAGCAUGUUGGCCUUGUGAAAAGCUUUUGAUGGAGCUGACGGAGCAGGGGAGCGGCAAGCUCCAGGACAAUUCAGAGCUACUCGCUCUAAAGGAACGAGUGUCCAGGCUCACGACCGAAAAAGCUGCUCUCAUGGAGAAGAACAAGAAAAUCUCCAAGGAAAAAAGAGCACUCCCAAAAUCAUUAAGGAUUCAGGAGAGUACGGUGCUUGAUCUAAAGAUUCUUAUGUAUCGAAACACAAAUGAAAUCGGGAAGCUCCAGAAGAUCAUGGCAGAUUCCGACAAGGAGAUGCUUGAUGAGUUGAAGGUUGCGGCACAGGCUGUGGUAGACAUGGUAGAGAUACCCGAGGACAAUGCAGAGGCACCACUCUCUUUGGCGGGGAAGCUUCAGAAAGUUCCUCAAUGCUUUCUGCAGUAUGUCUCGGUAACCACCCGACAGUAUGUGUCACACGUACUCGGGUUGGUAAAGUCCUACUGGCCGCAGACAUCACUGGAUCCGCUAGGUGAGGGAGUGAAGUCAGACUACAGUGAAGAGCAGUUUGACCAGUACCUUUUUGAAGUAUCACCUAUUGCUGAUAGGAUAGUGGAUAGCCUAAGGAAUGCCUGAUCUUUUGGUCUUUGUAAUCGAAUGAUGUAAUGAGCUUCUGGAGCUCCAAAAUACUCUUUGAGUUGUGUACAAAUAUUUAAAUUUGCUUUUCA
This is a long non-coding RNA of Panicum virgatum (switchgrass), 6197 nucleotides long. RefSeq lists it as uncharacterized. NCBI's taxonomy places the organism in Eukaryota, Viridiplantae, Streptophyta, Magnoliopsida, Poales, Poaceae. The transcript has 19 exons. The record is from RefSeq and is a predicted model, not a curated record.